This is a non-coding RNA of Taeniopygia guttata (zebra finch), 645 nucleotides long. The record is from RefSeq and is a predicted model, not a curated record. Lineage: Eukaryota; Metazoa; Chordata; Aves; Passeriformes; Estrildidae.
CCCUGUGUCCGUUUGUCUCACACCUGGACACCUGCUCCAGAUGUAUUCUGCGAGGGACAGGAUCAAAACUGCACUUAAAAUCCUGAAAUAGAACCUGCAUUGCCUUCCCAUCAUCCAUGAGACGGGUGACCUUCUGUUAGGGAACCAGUGAGUGGGAGCCAGGGUGCGCUUGAGUUUCGGGAAUGCCGCAUCUCCUCGUCUCCUCAUUUCCCAGGCAGACCCUGCCACGAGGGCGUGGCCGAAGCGGCCCGAGGAUCCGGGCAUUCUUAGGAGAAUGCUGGGCAAGGGCCACAGGUCGGUGACUGCAGGAAAUUGCCAGCAGGGGAGGCAGCCUUCCUUCGUACCUGAUGUGGAUUCCCUUCCCCGGACAUCCUAGAGAUUUUUUUAGGAUUGGUGACUGAUAAACACAAUGUGUUUUGAUGGAUGGUUUUAGUUAGUGUUGCUUGUUUUGUUUUGGUUGUGGAACUAUUUAUCUUGGGUUUUUUUUGUGAGUAUUUUAAAUAAGGUUUGACACAGUGAGUAGGACUGUCAUGUAGUUUAUUUUUUGUGGAAACAUAAGUAUACCUUUAGGUUAUGAAAUUGACAGGACUACUUUAUUGACUACUUACCAAGUCUUUUUGAGGUUUUUGUAAGUCUGAUUUGAAA